AUGACCGGUGCAACUCCCAGCCACAUCUCUCACAAAUUCAUCUCCAUUGCCGACCAAAUACGAGUGCAAAAUCGCCUGCUCCCUAGCCUCUCAACCAUGUCAGGUGUAAAUAGAACAGCCGCCAGUCGUCGCCUCCGCCCAUCGACCACACAUCAUGCAGAGAACAAGACGUACAAUGCUGAGAGAACAACACGUACAAUAUUGAGAGAACUAUGGCAUGAUUCGGAGAAAAACCGUCACGUUCCUCGUGCACCGUCAGCACACACCAAGCAUGAUUCAAAAGUGGUGGAUCCAAAAUUUGCAAACUUACUGGGAGAAGUGCUAAUGAAAGGUACCAGGCAGGUUAGCUAG
Molecule: ribosomal RNA, 351 nt
Filed under: Triticum aestivum (bread wheat)
Lineage: Eukaryota; Viridiplantae; Streptophyta; Magnoliopsida; Poales; Poaceae
Description: partial small subunit ribosomal RNA
Source: RNAcentral